GAUGAACGCUGGCGGCGUGCCUAAUACAUGCAAGUCGAGCGAACGGACGAGAAGCUUGCUUCUCUGAUGUUAGCGGCGGACGGGUGAGUAACACGUGGAUAACCUACCUAUAAGACUGGGAUAACCUCGGGAAACCGGAGCUAAUACCGGAUGAUAUUUUGAACCGCAUGGUUCAAAAGUGAAAGACGUUCUUGCUUUCACUUAUAGAUGGAUCCGCGCUGCAUUAGCUAGUUGGUAAGGUAACGGCUUACCAAGGCAACGAUGCAUAGCCGACCUGAGAGGGUGAUCGGCCACACUGGAACUGAGACACGGUCCAGACUCCUACGGGAGGCAGCAGUAGGGAAUCUUGCGCAAUGGGCGAAAGCCUGACGGAGCAACGCCGCGUGAGUGAUGAAGGUCUUCGGAUCGUAAAACUCUGUUAUUAGGGAAGAACAUAUGUGUAAGUAACUGUGCACAUAUUGACGGUACCUAAUCAGAAAGCCACGGCUAACUACGUG
This 497-nucleotide ribosomal RNA is filed under the name uncultured bacterium. RNAcentral describes it as "partial 16S ribosomal RNA". It matches the Rfam family "Bacterial small subunit ribosomal RNA", at positions 28 to 507 of the family's 1533-position model. The record is from RNAcentral.